GCGUCCUACGGGGGGCAGCAGUGGGGAAUAUUGGGCAAUGGAGGAAACUCUUACCCAGCAAUGCCGCGUGAAUGAAGAAGCGCCUCGGCGCGUAAAGCCCUGUCAGCAGGGAAGAAAAUGACGGUACCUGAAGAAGAAGCCCCGGCUAACUACGUGCCAGCAGCCGCGGUAAUACGUAGGGGGCAAGCGUUAUCCGGAUUUACUGGGUGUAAAGGGGGCGCAGACGGCGAUGCAAGCCAGGAGUGAAAGCCCGGGGCCCAACCCCGGGACUGCUCUUGGAACUGCGUGGCUGGAG
Molecule: ribosomal RNA, 295 nt
Filed under: uncultured bacterium
Lineage: Bacteria
Description: partial 16S ribosomal RNA
Rfam family: Bacterial small subunit ribosomal RNA
Source: RNAcentral